AUUGAACGCUGGCGGCAUGCCUUACACAUGCAAGUCGAACGGCAGCACGGGAGCAAUCCUGGUGGCGAGUGGCGAACGGGUGAGUAAUAUAUCGGAACGUGCCCAGUCGUGGGGAUAACGUAGCGAAAGCUACGCUAAUACCGCAUACGAUCUAUGGAUGAAAGCGGGGGAUCGCAAGACCUCGCGCGAUUGGAGCGGCCGAUAUCAGAUUAGGUAGUUGGUGAGGUAAAGGCUCACCAAGCCGACGAUCUGUAGCUGGUCUGAGAGGACGACCAGCCACACUGGGACUGAGACACGGCCCAGACUCCUACGGGAGGCAGCAGUGGGGAAUUUUGGACAAUGGGCGCAAGCCUGAUCCAGCAAUGCCGCGUGCAGGAUGAAGGCCUUCGGUUGUAAACUGCUUUUGUACGGAACGAACGGUAGAGCUCUAAUACAGUUUG
Molecule: ribosomal RNA, 440 nt
Filed under: uncultured bacterium
Lineage: Bacteria
Description: bacterial SSU rRNA
Rfam family: Bacterial small subunit ribosomal RNA
Source: RNAcentral